AUGAAGACAGCUAUUCAUGCUUUAUUUAUUUUCCUCUGGCUGCAGAUGGACUGGGAGAGCCAAGGUGAGCAGGUGCAACAGCACCCUUCCUCCCUGAGUGUCCAGGAGGGAGCCAAUGCUCUCAUCAACUGCUCCUACACAGACAGUGCCGCCGUCUACUUCCCUUGGUAUAAGCAAGAGCCUGGGAAGCAUCCUCAGCUCAUCAUUGACAUCCGUUCAAAUAUGGAAAGAAAGCAGACCCAAAGACUCACCCUUUUAUUUGAUAAGAAAACCAAACACCUUUCCCUGCACAUCACAGCCACUCAGCCUGGAGACUCAGCUAUCUACUUCUGCACAACAAGUACACACUGGUCCCCAGGCACCUGCAGCCUGUCUUCAAACCUGCCUCCAGGGUUGGAGUGGCGCCCUUUUGCUAUGUCAGAAUUCCACAAGAGCAUUUGUCACACUGUUUGUGAAUAA
Molecule: non-coding RNA, 459 nt
Organism: Arvicanthis niloticus (Nile rat)
Lineage: Eukaryota; Metazoa; Chordata; Mammalia; Rodentia; Muridae
Source: the annotation of a RefSeq genome assembly